RNAcentral lists this ribosomal RNA (584 nucleotides) under Bacillaceae bacterium GUDS1165. RNAcentral's name for it is "bacterial SSU rRNA". It matches the Rfam family "Bacterial small subunit ribosomal RNA", at positions 86 to 655 of the family's 1533-position model. Lineage: Bacteria; Bacillati; Bacillota; Bacilli; Caryophanales; Bacillaceae. The record is from RNAcentral.
AUGAAGUUAGCGGCGGACGGGUGAGUAACACGUGGGUAACCUGCCCAUAAGACUGGGAUAACUCCGGGAAACCGGGGCUAAUACCGGAUAACAUUUUGAACCGCAUGGUUCGAAAUUGAAAGGCGGCUUCGGCUGUCACUUAUGGAUGGACCCGCGUCGCAUUAGCUAGUUGGUGAGGUAACGGCUCACCAAGGCAACGAUGCGUAGCCGACCUGAGAGGGUGAUCGGCCACACUGGGACUGAGACACGGCCCAGACUCCUACGGGAGGCAGCAGUAGGGAAUCUUCCGCAAUGGACGAAAGUCUGACGGAGCAACGCCGCGUGAGUGAUGAAGGCUUUCGGGUCGUAAAACUCUGUUGUUAGGGAAGAACAAGUGCUAGUUGAAUAAGCUGGCACCUUGACGGUACCUAACCAGAAAGCCACGGCUAACUACGUGCCAGCAGCCGCGGUAAUACGUAGGUGGCAAGCGUUAUCCGGAAUUAUUGGGCGUAAAGCGCGCGCAGGUGGUUUCUUAAGUCUGAUGUGAAAGCCCACGGCUCAACCGUGGAGGGUCAUUGGAAACUGGGAGACUUGAGUGCAGAAGA